This 306-nucleotide ribosomal RNA is filed under the name uncultured Planctomycetota bacterium. RNAcentral describes it as "bacterial SSU rRNA". It matches the Rfam family "Bacterial small subunit ribosomal RNA", at positions 29 to 351 of the family's 1533-position model. The record is from RNAcentral. Lineage: Bacteria; Pseudomonadati; Planctomycetota.
AAUGAACGUUGGCGGCGUGGAUUAGGCAUGCAAGUCGAGCGCGAAGCCCCGCAAGGGGUGGAAAGCGGCGAAAGGGACAGUAACACGUGGAUUAUCUACCCCUCGAUCUGGGAUAGCUGCGGGAAACUGCAGGUAAUACCAGAUGAUGUCUUCGGACCAAAGGUGUGAUUCCGUCGAGGGAUGAGUCCGCGUCCUAUUAGCUAGUUGGUAGGGUAACGCUUACCAAGGCCAUGAUGGGUAGCGGGUGUGAGAGCAUGACCCGCGUCACGUGGGACUGAGAUACUGCCCAGACACCUACGGGAGCUG